UUCUCUUCAUUACCUUUACAUGAUCCUACAACCUUUAACCAUCCUCUGUUAUAACACCACAACUCUCCCGUAACUUACACCUUGCCGGAAGAUCAAAAGCGCCUCGCCGCGUUACAAAGUCGUUGCUGGAAUCGGAGUUCACGUCGGAUCCGAACCUUCAUUGGUUCGGUACACCCUUACCCGUCGGAGACGUAGAAGCUUUGCCGGAGAGAACCGACGCCGCCGGGAAACGGAAACAGCCACCACCACAACUCGCCGGAGCUUACGUCAUUCCUUGAAUUGGUAUCAUUCUUGUUCCUUUUGUUUUGUUCGUUCAGUCAUCAGUAAUACACAUCAUUCUAAGGUUCAAACAAUUAAAUUUAUGAAUCAUAACAAAUAGUCAUGUAUGUUUAUUAAAUAGAGGAAGAAGAUAACAUGUGAAGUUGAAACUAGCCUACUGUUGAGUUUUUAUUAAAAUUGAAGAUGAUGACACGAUUUUUUCUCUUCUUGUAGUUUUAUUCUUAUUUAAGAAAGAUAUAAAAAAAUACGUAAAUAACUUUUUGUUAUGUGAAAACUUUAUUUAAGUAAGAAAGAAGAUGAAUACUUCUAUAUGUAUAGUCAAGGGAUAUAACACUUUAUGUAAUGUUUAUUUCAAAUGAGAAAGAUGAUGACGAUGUUAUAUUCAUAUAAAAUAUAACCUAAUAAACAUCGCGAGUUCGAGUCCCGCUAUGAACGGUUUUGAUAUUUUUGGGAUUUCCUUUGACUCAACAGUUUCUUUUCUUUUUUUUUGUUUUUACUAUAUUGAUUCUUUUUUUGAAGACAGAAACAACAAUUGUCAUAUUUUCUUUUGAUUUAAUAUAACUAUAGUAUUUCUUAAUCAAAGUUGUUGCUAUCUUUUUAUUUUGGAAACGUUUACAUAGAUAAACUAAUUUGUUUAAGAAGUUUAAAAGAGAUGAGGUUUGUCAACUCAUUAAAAAAAACCCUCUUAUAACAUUAAAAGUUAAUAUUCAGAUAAAUUAUGUAAAUAAUUUAUUUACUUAGCUAAGACGUUCACGUAAUUCAUAUCUAGGAUCACCAUUACGUUCGUUCUCUUGGAUUUCUCCGAUCUUUACUCGUGCGUUAUUACAAGAAAUCGCAACGAAAUCUAAGGCUAUGUUAAUUGCGAUGAGGAAUCAAGAUUUGAAGAAGUGAAUAGGAUGGCCUAGAAACCCACCUUUGAAAUAAACUAUGUUUGAUGUUUGUUAUUUCCUUUUUAUGAUAAUGUAUGAAACUUUGCAAUUUUAAUAAAUGAAACUUAAUUAUAUUGUCACAUUUAGUGUUAUGAUGUCUUUGGACAAUUUGUACGUCUCAUCCCGAUGUUUUCGCCAUCGGUUAGGGUGUGACACUUUUAACCCCUCGCAUACGAAUUUGAUCAUAACUUUCUCGUUU
RNAcentral lists this long non-coding RNA (1407 nucleotides) under Helianthus annuus (common sunflower). RNAcentral's name for it is "hypothetical non coding rna". The record is from RNAcentral. Lineage: Eukaryota; Viridiplantae; Streptophyta; Magnoliopsida; Asterales; Asteraceae.